AGCACGCAGAGGGGAUACAUCAAAACAGAUGUAAUCUUUGUAGCAUGGGCCGUUCGUUGGCAACUGAAAGUUACUGCUGAUGCCCAUUGUGUUUCGGACCUGGGGUCAGAGGUGCUCCUGCUUUUCCCUCUGCCAGAUAAAAGCAUCAGUGGUGUCACAGUGCUCUUCGCAGAAACGCUCCCUCAGAGAAGGAUGGAAAUGUUGAGCUGUGUCUUUGUUCUGGAGCCCCAGUCUUUACCAAAAGCUUUGUGCUUGGCCACAGACAUGAAUAAAGGGAGCAAAGCACAGGUUUCUAAUUGUUGUGACAUCCAUAUUUCUUACAAUCAGAGGGAAAAAGAAGAGAAACACAACUGACUUAAGAGGCCCAGACCCAACAGGAAUGGCCUGGAAUUAGCGAAUGUAAAGACUCAGCUUUGAGUCAUGUUCUAGGUACAAUACUGUUUCUCAUGAGCUACGUGACAGAAUGCUUUGCCUUCAUUCAACCAGUCCUUAGUCAAAAAUAAGACUUGUUUAGGAGACGGUACUCAUCCUGUUAGCUCUGUUGUUGCAGCUGUGUGUUACACUCUCUGUCUUCUUUGGGAACCUUAUCCAAUGGAUAAAAGAUACUGGGCAAAAAUGGAGAGAUGAAGUAAAUAAAAUUAAAUUCUUCAAAAGCCCUAGAUGCCUUUCUGCAGUGAUGACCUUUGCAGAGUCUCAGGGAAACUUCACGCUCAAUUUUGUUCUUUGGCA
RNAcentral lists this long non-coding RNA (729 nucleotides) under Gallus gallus (chicken). RNAcentral's name for it is "lncRNA (ENSGALG00010008854.1)". Lineage: Eukaryota; Metazoa; Chordata; Aves; Galliformes; Phasianidae. The record is from RNAcentral.